UUGGAAACUCUGCCUGACCAUGUGGUAACAUCACCCAUUUCCCAAGGUUCAGAAACCAAUGCGCCUCUGAAGGGAAGCAGAACGUUUCUCUCUUUACACCCUCUGAAAUAUGUGCUCCAGUCAUGAAGCAGAGAAUAUUACAGUGAAGACAGGGAAUUAAAUGAAGUUUGGAGACGGUAUAAUGAACCUCUGAAGUUAGAAAAUGAUACCAAUUCUGACCUUUAAGCCCUGGAAUAGAAUCUGGCGAUGGAUGAGAUUCCUCAACCCACAUUGCCUGACCCCGGGAAAGCACUGUCUACUAUGUAGUCUUCCAGAG
Molecule: long non-coding RNA, 316 nt
Organism: Balaenoptera ricei (Rice's whale)
Lineage: Eukaryota; Metazoa; Chordata; Mammalia; Artiodactyla; Balaenopteridae
Exons: 4
Source: RefSeq, a predicted model, not a curated record